Molecule: ribosomal RNA, 552 nt
Filed under: uncultured Glomus
Lineage: Eukaryota; Fungi; Glomeromycota; Glomeromycetes; Glomerales; Glomeraceae
Description: SSU rRNA
Rfam family: Eukaryotic small subunit ribosomal RNA
Source: RNAcentral
UUUGGAGGGCAAGUCUGGUGCCAGCAGCCGCGGUAAUUCCAGCUCCAAUAGCGUAUAUUAAAGUUGUUGCAGUUAAAAAGCUCGUAGUUGAACCUCGGGGUCUACCCAUUGGUCAGGCUUAAUUGUCUGCACUGGUGAGAUGGAUCUCUACCUUCUGAGGAACUUUCAUGCCAUUUAUUUGGUGUGAUGGGAAAUCAGGACUGUUACUUUGAAAAAAUUAGAGUGUUUAAAGCAGACUAUCGUCUGAAUACAUUAGCAUGGAAUAAUGAAAUAGGACGGACUGAUUCUAUUUCGUUGGUUUCUAGGAUCACCGUAAUGAUUAAUAGGGAUAGUUGGGGGCAUUAGUAUUCAAUUGUCAGAGGUGAAAUUCUUGGAUUUAUUGAAGACUAACUACUGCGAAAGCAUUUGCCAAGGAUGUUUUCAUUAAUCAAGAACGAAAGUUAGGGGAUCGAAGACGAUCAGAUACCGUCGUAGUCUUAACCAUAAACUAUGCCGACUAGGGAUCGAACGAAGUUAAUUUUAUAAUGACGCGUUCGGCGCCUUACGGGAAAA